UAAAAAAGAGAAAGAAGAAAAAAAUGAAAAGAAAAAUACCAAUAAAAUAAAGGAAAAUGUGGAGAUAAAUCUAGAAAUUCAUGGAGAAAUUGUUAGUGAAGAUGACUGUCCAAUUAACAAUCAAAAGAAAAAAGGUAAUAAGCAUAAAUGGGUACCACUUCAUUUAGAUGAUAUGAAGCCAGAUAACCAAGAAAGGCCAGGAUCUCAGAACAGUUCAAGGUCCCAGCCAGAAACCAGCAAGCUUGUGCCUCACAACAACAGACGCAAUGAGGCAAGAACUAGCUGGCGAAGGGAUCGGGAAAAGCGAGAAGAUCAUGAUGAAGUUUCGAGUGUGAGAAGUGAAGGUGGCAGCGUUAGAGGAUUUUACAGAGGACGAGGGAGAGGCAGGGGAAGAGGAAGAGGACGUGGAAGAGGAAAUCCUCGAAGUAUGGAAAUAGAAAAUUAUUAAGAAAGAAUGGUAUUGAACAUACUAAAUUGCAAAACUAGCCAUAGUUACAUGGGUUGCUUAUAACGUAAUGCCAACUCAUGGCUUGUUAUAUGAAUUAGUUUUAAAAACUGUAAAAAUAAAUAACAAAUUGAAAUGGGCUUAGGGUUUUACAAUACAA
This is a non-coding RNA of Thamnophis sirtalis, 605 nucleotides long. The record is from RefSeq and is a predicted model, not a curated record. Lineage: Eukaryota; Metazoa; Chordata; Lepidosauria; Squamata; Natricidae.